CAAGAAGUAGUUUAAUUAAGAAUGCCAGCUUUGGGUGUUGGUGGUGGGGGUAGACCUCCCUUCUUGA
RNAcentral lists this transfer RNA (67 nucleotides) under Lophuromys chrysopus. RNAcentral describes it as "tRNA-Pro". It matches the Rfam family "tRNA". From Rfam's summary of the family: Transfer RNA (tRNA) molecules are approximately 80 nucleotides in length. Their secondary structure includes four short double-helical elements and three loops (D, anti-codon, and T loops). The record is from RNAcentral. Lineage: Eukaryota; Metazoa; Chordata; Mammalia; Rodentia; Muridae.